AGGGAUAAGGAAUUGAGUAGUUCAGACUCCCUUUGAAAACUGUAGAAAACCUUUCUGUCAGAUCUUUCUUUUUUCUUCAUAUUCUCAUUUUCGCCCUCCCCACCCCAGCUUUGAAGCAUACAUAAUAGGUGUUGGUUUAUUUUUUCCUCAUGGAAUCAUGGGUAGUUUCAUUGCAGCUCAUCUCUUUCUGUUUGUUUCGUAUAGGGCUGAUAGUUCAGGACCAUUCAGACCCCAUGUUCAGUUCAUAUGCCUAUAAGUCCCACUACCUACUGAAUGAAUCAAAUCGUGCUGAGUUGAUGAAAUUACCUAUGAUUCCUUCUUCGUCAGCUUCCAAAAAGAAAUGUGAGAAAGGUGGAAGAUUGCUCUGCUGUGAAUCGUGCCCAGCUUCCUUCCACCCGGAAUGCCUAAGCAUAGAAAUGCCAGAAGGCUGCUGGAAUUGUAAUGACUGUAAAGCUGGCAAGAAACUACAUUACAAGCAGAUUGUUUGGGUCAAAUUGGGAAAUUACAG
This 508-nucleotide long non-coding RNA is filed under the name Homo sapiens (human). RNAcentral describes it as "non-protein coding lnc-PLPP5-3:1". Lineage: Eukaryota; Metazoa; Chordata; Mammalia; Primates; Hominidae. The record is from RNAcentral.